This 496-nucleotide ribosomal RNA is filed under the name uncultured Staphylococcus sp. Its description in RNAcentral is "partial 16S ribosomal RNA". The record is from RNAcentral. Lineage: Bacteria; Bacillati; Bacillota; Bacilli; Caryophanales; Staphylococcaceae.
CACGUAGUUAGCCGUGGCUUUCUGAUUAGGUACCGUCAAGAUGUGCACAGUUACUUACACAUAUGUUCUUCCCUAAUAACAGAGUUUUACGAUCCGAAGACCUUCAUCACUCACGCGGCGUUGCUCCGUCAGGCUUUCGCCCAUUGCGGAAGAUUCCCUACUGCUGCCUCCCGUAGGAGUCUGGACCGUGUCUCAGUUCCAGUGUGGCCGAUCACCCUCUCAGGUCGGCUAUGCAUCGUUGCCUUGGUAAGCCGUUACCUUACCAACUAGCUAAUGCAGCGCGGAUCCAUCUAUAAGUGACAGCAAGACCGUCUUUCACUUUUGAACCAUGCGGUUCAAAAUAUUAUCCGGUAUUAGCUCCGGUUUCCCGAAGUUAUCCCAGUCUUAUAGGUAGGUUAUCCACGUGUUACUCACCCGUCCGCCGCUAACAUCAGAGAAGCAAGCUUCUCGUCCGUUCGCUCGACUUGCAUGUAUUAGGCACGCCGCCAGCGUUCAU